Molecule: ribosomal RNA, 236 nt
Filed under: Umezakia ovalisporum
Lineage: Bacteria; Bacillati; Cyanobacteriota; Cyanophyceae; Nostocales; Nodulariaceae
Description: Chrysosporum ovalisporum partial 23S ribosomal RNA
Rfam family: Bacterial large subunit ribosomal RNA
Source: RNAcentral
AAGGGUAUGGCUGUUCGCCAUUUAAAGUGGUACGUGAGCUGGGUUCAGAACGUCGUGAGACAGUUUGGUCCCUAUCUGCCGUGGGUGUUCGAAGCUUGAGAGGAUCUGUCCCUAGUACGAGAGGACCGGGAUGGACAUACCUCUGGUGGACCUGUCGUGGCGCCAGCCGCGCAGCAGGGUAGCUAUGUAUGGAAUAGAUAACCGCUGAAAGCAUCUAAGCGGGAAACUAACCUCAA